GACGAACGCUGGCGGCGUGUUUAACACAUGCAAGUCGAGCGGUAAGGCCCUUUCGGGGGUACACGAGCGGCGAACGGGUGAGUAACACGUGGGUGACCUGCCCUCAGCUCUGGGAUAAGCCUGGGAAACCGGGUCUAAUACCGGAUAUGACUCCAUGACGCAUGUUGUGGGGUGGAAAGCCUUGUGCGGCUGAGGAUGGGCCCGCGGCCUAUCAGCUUGUUGGUGGGGUGAUGGCCUACCAAGGCGACGACGGGUAGCCGGCCUGAGAGGGCGACCGGCCACACUGGGACUGAGACACGGCCCAGACUCCUACGGGAGGCAGCAGUGGGGAAUCUUGCGCAAUGGGCGAAAGCCUGACGCAGCGACGCCGCGUGAGGGAUGACGGCCUGGU
This 391-nucleotide ribosomal RNA is filed under the name uncultured bacterium. RNAcentral describes it as "bacterial SSU rRNA". It matches the Rfam family "Bacterial small subunit ribosomal RNA", at positions 28 to 420 of the family's 1533-position model. The record is from RNAcentral.